This is a long non-coding RNA of Ipomoea nil (Japanese morning glory), 260 nucleotides long. RefSeq lists it as uncharacterized. The record is from RefSeq and is a predicted model, not a curated record. The transcript is spliced from 2 exons. NCBI's taxonomy places the organism in Eukaryota, Viridiplantae, Streptophyta, Magnoliopsida, Solanales, Convolvulaceae.
AUAAAAUCAAAAACUUUAUGAAUCAAAACAUAACCUAAAUUGAAUCUGGUUUCAGUAUGUCUUGGGCUCAAUCACAAAUUCCAGCUAAAAGUGAAGACUGAAUAUAAUUUGAGUAUUACUCAAUAGUUCAUACAAGCUAUGAAUACAUAGAAACUACAAAUAGCAUCUCACAUAUGGGCAAAUCUCCGUUCAAAAUGGAGAAAGCCAGGAGGGGGUAGAAACCGCAUUCUUGCCCUCAUAUUGGGAUAUCAAAACACCCA